RNAcentral lists this ribosomal RNA (301 nucleotides) under uncultured bacterium. RNAcentral's name for it is "partial 16S ribosomal RNA". It matches the Rfam family "Bacterial small subunit ribosomal RNA", at positions 509 to 807 of the family's 1533-position model. The record is from RNAcentral.
CAGUAGCCGCGGGAAAACGGAGGGUGCAAGCGUUAAUCGGAAUUACUGGGCGUAAAGCGCACGCAGGCGGUCUGACAAGUCAGAUGUGAAAUCCCCGGGCUUAACCUGGGAACUGCAUUUGAAACUGUCAGGCUGGAGUCUUGUAGAGGGGGGUAGAAUUCCAGGUGUAGCGGUGAAAUGCGUAGAGAUCUGGAGGAAUACCGGUGGCGAAGGCGGCCCCCUGGACAAAGACUGACGCUCAGGUGCGAAAGCGUGGGGAGCAAACAGGAUUAGAUACCCGCGUAGUCCCUGUCUCUUAUAC